GACGAACGCUGGCGGCGUGCUUAACACAUGCAAGUCGAACGAUGAACCAGGGCUUGCCCUGGGGAUUAGUGGCGAACGGGUGAGUAACACGUGGGCAACCUGCCCCAGACACCGGGAUAACCUCUCGAAAGAGUGGCUAAUACCGGAUAUGACCACUUCGGGCAUCCGACGGUGGUGGAAAGGAUUCUGGUCUGGGAUGGGCCCGCGGCCUAUCAGCUAGUUGGUGGGGUAAUGGCCUACCAAGGCGACGAAGGGUAGCCGGCCUGAGAGGGCGACCGGCCACACUGGGACUGAGACACGGCCCAGACUCCUACGGGAGGCAGCAGUAGGGAAUAUUGCGCAAUGGGCGAAAGCCUGACGCAGCGACGCCGCGUGAGGGACGAAGGUCUUCGGAUUGUAAACCUCUUUCAGCAGGGACGAAGCGAAAGUGACUGUACCUGCAGAAGAAGCACCGGCUAACUACGUGCCAGCAGCCGCGGUAAU
This 483-nucleotide ribosomal RNA is filed under the name uncultured bacterium. RNAcentral describes it as "bacterial SSU rRNA". It matches the Rfam family "Bacterial small subunit ribosomal RNA", at positions 28 to 524 of the family's 1533-position model. The record is from RNAcentral.